CGGACGGGUGAGUAACGCGUGAGUAACCCACCUUACACAAGGGGAUAGCCGUUGGAAACGACGAAUAAUACCCUAUGAAACUAUCACUUCGCAUGAAGCGAUAGUCAAAGUGUUAGCGGUGUAAGAUGGACUUGCGUCUGAUUAGCUAGUUGGUGAGAAAAAAGCCCACCAAGGCAACGAUCAGUAGCCGGCUUGAGAGAGUGUACGGCCACAUUGGGACUGAGACACGGCCCAG
This 235-nucleotide ribosomal RNA is filed under the name uncultured Eubacteriales bacterium. RNAcentral describes it as "uncultured Clostridiales bacterium partial 16S ribosomal RNA". It matches the Rfam family "Bacterial small subunit ribosomal RNA", at positions 99 to 334 of the family's 1533-position model. Lineage: Bacteria; Bacillati; Bacillota; Clostridia; Eubacteriales. The record is from RNAcentral.